CUAGAGUUAGCUCAGUCUGGCAGAGCACUUGGUUUGGAACCAAGGGGCCGUAGGUUCAAAUCCUACACUCUAGA
RNAcentral lists this transfer RNA (74 nucleotides) under Thermoproteota archaeon. Its description in RNAcentral is "Crenarchaeota archaeon tRNA-Pro". It matches the Rfam family "tRNA". From Rfam's summary of the family: Transfer RNA (tRNA) molecules are approximately 80 nucleotides in length. The record is from RNAcentral. Lineage: Archaea; Thermoproteati; Thermoproteota.